GGAAUAUUGGACAAUGGGCGCAAGCCUGAUCCAGCCAUGCCGCGUGCAGGAUGACGGUCCUAUGGAUUGUAAACUGCUUUUGCACAGGAAGAAACAACUCUACGUGUAGAGUCUUGACGGUACUGUGAGAAUAAGGAUCGGCUAACUCCGUGCCAGCAGCCGCGGUAAUACGGAGGAUCCAAGCGUUAUCCGGAAUCAUUGGGUUUAAAGGGUCCGUAGGCGGUCUUAUAAGUCAGUGGUGAAAUCUCCCCGCUCAACGGGGAAACGGCCAUUGAUACUGUAGGACUUGAAUUAUUAGGAAGUAACUAGAAUAUGUAGUGUAGCGGUGAAAUGCUUAGAGAUUACAUGGAAUACCAAUUGCGAAGGCAGGUUACUACUAAUGGAUUGACGCUGAUGGACGAAAGCGUGGGUAGCGAACAGGAUUAGAUACCCGGG
RNAcentral lists this ribosomal RNA (435 nucleotides) under uncultured Flavobacterium sp. RNAcentral describes it as "bacterial SSU rRNA". It matches the Rfam family "Bacterial small subunit ribosomal RNA", at positions 358 to 790 of the family's 1533-position model. The record is from RNAcentral. Lineage: Bacteria; Pseudomonadati; Bacteroidota; Flavobacteriia; Flavobacteriales; Flavobacteriaceae.